RNAcentral lists this ribosomal RNA (376 nucleotides) under uncultured bacterium. RNAcentral's name for it is "bacterial SSU rRNA". It matches the Rfam family "Bacterial small subunit ribosomal RNA", at positions 523 to 897 of the family's 1533-position model. The record is from RNAcentral.
AGACGUAGGGGGCGAGCGUUGUCCGGAAUUACUGGGCGUAAAGAGCACGUAGGCGGGAACUUAAGUCAGGUGUGAAAGACCGGGGCUCAACUCCGGGGUUGCACUUGAAACUGGGUUUCUUGAGGGCAGGAGAGGAAAGCAGAAUUCCUGGUGUAGCGGUGAAAUGCGUAGAAAUCAGGAGGAAUACCAGUGGCGAAGGCGGCUUUCUGGACUGACCCUGACGCUGAGGUGCGAAAGCGUGGGUAGCAAACAGGAUUAGAUCCCCUGGUAGUCCACGCCGUAAACGAUGGAUACUAGGUGUGGGAGGUAUCGACCCCUUCCGUGCCGCAGCUAACGCAAUAAGUAUCCCGCCUGGGGAGUACGGUCGCAAGGCUGA